AACGAACGCUGGCGGCAUGCCUAACACAUGCAAGUCGAACGAGACCUUCGGGUUUAGUGGCGCAUGGGUGCGUAACGCGUGGGAACAUGCCUUUAGAUUCGGAAUUACUCAGAGAAAUUUGUGCUAAUACCGGAUGAUGUUUUCGGACAAAAGAUUUAGCGCCUUUAGAUGGGCGCGCGAUGGUUUUGCUAGUUGGUGGGGUAAAGGCCUACCAAGGCGACGAUCCAUAGCUGGUCUGAGCGGACGAUCAGCGACACUGGGACUGGGACACGGUCCAGACGCCUGCGGGAGGGAGCAGUGGGGAAUAAUGGACAAUGGGCGAAAGCCUGAACCAGCAAGGCCGCGUGAGUGAUGAAGGGUUGAGGGUUGUAAAGCUCUUUUACCCGAGAUGAUAAGAACGGUAUCGGGAGAAUAAGCCCGGGCUAACUCCUU
RNAcentral lists this ribosomal RNA (432 nucleotides) under uncultured bacterium. RNAcentral's name for it is "partial 16S ribosomal RNA". It matches the Rfam family "Bacterial small subunit ribosomal RNA", at positions 29 to 506 of the family's 1533-position model. The record is from RNAcentral.